GAAACCCAGGACCCCAAACAAAAAACCUCCGCAGCGGUUCAGAUAAGGCGGUCGCCGGCUCGCCGCCACCGUCCCUGCUCUCGCGCCGCACUCCAACCGGCCCCGGGGCCGCUUCGGGCUGGAUCUAGGGUUGCGUGGGGAGGAGUUAUGGAAGCCCCCGCCGCGAUGGACGCGGAGGACGAUGACGCCCGCGGCUUCAAGGCCGUCUUCACCGCCGCCGGCGAGGAGUUGCUCCAGGGGCGCAUGCGGGAGAAGCUGCGGGAGUUCAGGAGGAGCGAGAGCGACCCCGAAGGCCUCCUCCUGCUUCAUUUUGCGCAGCAUUUCUCUGUUGAUGACAGCCCAUGAAUCAGUCUUUCCAAAAACCAUAAGGCAUCAUCUCACAUAAGGAUCUUGAGGGAACCAGGGACAAAAGUCAAUCUUGGAUAUUAGAUAUGGCGGGACGACUUGACGGCGAGAGCGGAAAAAUGUAGAGGCCGGGUGCUUUUCGGGAGUAGUGCUGUAUUGAGGCCCAGUAGUGGCCCUUUUGCGUUUCGGCCUUGUAGGCCUGCAGACCAUUCGGCCUAACCCCUUUGUUUGUAACUUGGAUUCAGUGUUUCUUUUAGGAAAAAGUUCUUCCGGUCUCCAUCAACUAUUGGCAUUAUUGCCAUUGUUCGAUUUACCUCCUUCAACUAGAAAACCGAAUGCGAAUUGGCUUGUAGUCCAAUAGUAGGAUGGUCCAGUGGGACGCUACCCACCAGGGUUCAAAUCCUGGUGCUCGCACCUUUUCCUAGGAUUUACCUGUGUUACACGUUAAGUGGUAAGCGACGUUCCCGUCGACGACGAUGCGCCAGUGGUGACUUCGAGAAUCUUCAGAUCUGCCGGUGCUCAAUCCUUCGGAUGUGCUCAUAGGGGUAGGGUUUGCGUGCGUGUAUUUAUAGGGUGUGAGUGUGCGUGCAUGUUGUGGGCGUCUUCAUUGUACUGUGUGAUUCUAAAAAAAAACUAGAAAACCGAA
Molecule: RNA transcript, 991 nt
Organism: Panicum virgatum (switchgrass)
Lineage: Eukaryota; Viridiplantae; Streptophyta; Magnoliopsida; Poales; Poaceae
Exons: 3
Source: RefSeq, a predicted model, not a curated record